This 624-nucleotide ribosomal RNA is filed under the name uncultured Flavobacterium sp. RNAcentral's name for it is "partial 16S ribosomal RNA". It matches the Rfam family "Bacterial small subunit ribosomal RNA", at positions 83 to 703 of the family's 1533-position model. The record is from RNAcentral. Lineage: Bacteria; Pseudomonadati; Bacteroidota; Flavobacteriia; Flavobacteriales; Flavobacteriaceae.
CGGAACUAGAGACCGGCGCACGGGUGCGUAACGCGUAUGCAAUCUACCUUUCACAGAGGGAUAGCCCAGAGAAAUUUGGAUUAAUACCUCAUAGUAUUAUAGAGUGGCAUCACUUUAUAAUUAAAGUCACAACGGUGAAAGAUGAGCAUGCGUCCCAUUAGCUAGAUGGUAAGGUAACGGCUUACCAUGGCAACGAUGGGUAGGGGUCCUGAGAGGGAGAUCCCCCACACUGGUACUGAGACACGGACCAGACUCCUACGGGAGGCAGCAGUGAAGAAAUUUUUGAAAGGGGGCGCAAGCCUGAACCAGCCAUGCCGCGUGCAGGAUGACGGUCCUAUGGAUUGUAAACUGUUUUUUUUUUUUAAAAAAACAAAAUAACGUGUAAUGUCUUGACGGUAUCGUAAGAAUAAGGAUCGGCUAACUCCGUGCCAGCAGCCGCGGUAAUACGGAGGAUCCAAGCGUUAUCCGGAAUCAUUGGGUUUAAAGGGUCCGUAGGCGGUUUAGUAAGUCAGUGGUGAAAGCCCAUCGCUCAACGGUGGAACGGCCAUUGAUACUGCUAGACUUGAAUUACUAGGAAGUAACUAGAAUAUGUAGUGUAGCGGUGAAAUGCUUAGAGAUUACAUG